RNAcentral lists this ribosomal RNA (565 nucleotides) under uncultured bacterium. RNAcentral describes it as "bacterial LSU rRNA". It matches the Rfam family "Bacterial large subunit ribosomal RNA", at positions 1308 to 1670 of the family's 2925-position model. The record is from RNAcentral.
GGUAAGCGAUAAGGAGGCGAGAAUCCCUCCCACCGUAGAGCUAAGGGUUCCUGGGCCAGGUGAAUCCUCCCAGGGUAAGUCGGGAUCCUAAGGCGAGGCCGAAAGGCGUAGUCGAUGGACAUCAGGUUAAUAUUCCUGAACUUGGUAUUUAUCGUUUGACUGAAGGAGUGACGGAGAAAGGUAGCACAUCCAGAGAUUGGUUGUUCUGGUGUAAGGUCGUAGGUGGGGUCGGUAGGCAAAUCCGCUGGCCCAUUCAACACUGAGAACUGAUGCCUCGGCGUAAGACCAAGCCACGCUCACAAGAAAAGCUUUCGCCAUGCCGGACAAAUCUUUUGAAUCUUCGCUUUCCGGCGGUUCAGCUUUUUGGUUGCCGUCGUUCGUCAUAUUUUUGUUUUCUCCCGGGCAGGUUUUUCUAGCGAGUUGUUCCAGUGUGCGAUCGAUACCCAAAAAUUAUGAUUUUGCUUGAACCCGCACCCUACUUAUCUUUGAGGGUAUGGCCUUGAUUACCACAAAUAAUAUCAUAAAUCUACUGAUUCAAUAACCGCAUCAGAAAUAAAUCGGUUCU